RNAcentral lists this ribosomal RNA (497 nucleotides) under uncultured bacterium. RNAcentral's name for it is "partial 16S ribosomal RNA". It matches the Rfam family "Bacterial small subunit ribosomal RNA", at positions 28 to 507 of the family's 1533-position model. The record is from RNAcentral.
GAUGAACGCUGGCGGCGUGCCUAAUACAUGCAAGUCGAGCGAACAGACGAGGAGCUUGCUCCUCUGACGUUAGCGGCGGACGGGUGAGUAACACGUGGAUAACCUACCUAUAAGACUGGGAUGACUUCGGGAAACCGGAGCUAAUACCGGAUAAUAUAUUGAACCGCAUGGUUCAAUAGUGAAAGACGGUUUUGCUGUCACUUAUCGAUGGAUCCGCGCCGCAUUAGCUAGUUGGUAAGGUAACGGCUUACCAAGGCAACGAUGCGUAGACGACCUGUGAGGGUGAUAGGCCACACUGGAAGGGGGACACGGUCCAGACUCCUACGGGAGGCAGCAGUAGGGAAUCUGCGGCAGUGGGCGAAAGCCUGACGGAGCAACGCCGCGUGAGUGAUGAAGGUCUUCGGAUCGUAAAACUCUGUUAUUAGGGAAGAACAAAUGUGUAAGUAACUAUGCACGUCGUGACGGUACCUAAUCAGAAAGCCACGGCUAACUACGUG